RNAcentral lists this transfer RNA (83 nucleotides) under Chitinophagaceae bacterium. RNAcentral describes it as "tRNA-Tyr". It matches the Rfam family "tRNA". From Rfam's summary of the family: Transfer RNA (tRNA) molecules are approximately 80 nucleotides in length. RNAcentral also lists the same sequence under 1 other name. The record is from RNAcentral. Lineage: Bacteria; Pseudomonadati; Bacteroidota; Chitinophagia; Chitinophagales; Chitinophagaceae.
GGGUAGAUGGCCGAGUGGCUAAAGGCGGCAGACUGUAAAUCUGCUCUCUUCGGAGUACGGAGGUUCGAAUCCUUCUCUGCCCA